This 1239-nucleotide ribosomal RNA is filed under the name Candidatus Phytoplasma citri. Its description in RNAcentral is "bacterial SSU rRNA". It matches the Rfam family "Bacterial small subunit ribosomal RNA", at positions 162 to 1399 of the family's 1533-position model. Lineage: Bacteria; Bacillati; Mycoplasmatota; Mollicutes; Acholeplasmatales; Acholeplasmataceae. The record is from RNAcentral.
GCUAAGACUGGAUAGGAAGAAAUAAGGCAUCUUUUUUCUUUUAAAAGACCUAGUGAUAGGUAUACUUUAGGAGGGGCUUGCGCCAUAUUAGUUAGUUGGUAGGGUAAUGGCCUACCAAGACGAUGAUGUGUAGCUGGACUGAGAGGUUGAACAGCCACAUUGGGACUGAGACACGGCCCAAACUCCUACGGGAGGCAGCAGUAGGGAAUUUUCGGCAAUGGAGGAAACUCUGACCGAGCAACGCCGCGUGAACGACGAAGUACUUUGGUAUGUAAAGUUCUUUUAUCAAGGAAGAAAAGCAAGUGGUGAACCAUUUGUUUGCCGGUACUUGAUGAAUAAGCCCCGGCUAAUUAUGUGCCAGCAGCCGCGGUAAGACAUAAGGGGCAAGUGUUAUCCGGAAUUAUUGGGCGUAAAGGGUGCGUAGGCGGUCUAGUAAGUCAGUGGUGUAAUGGCAACGCUCAACGUUGUCCGGCUAUUGAAACUGCUAAACUUGAGUUAGAUAGAGGCGAGUGGAAUUCCAUGUGUAGCGGUAAAAUGCGUAAAUAUAUGGAGGAACACCAGAGGCGUAGGCGGCUCGCUGGGUCUUAACUGACGCUGAGGCACGAAAGCGUGGGGAGCAAACAGGAUUAGAUACCCUGGUAGUCCACGCCGUAAACGAUGAGUACUAAGUGUCGGGUUAAACCGGUACUGAAGUUAACACAUUAAGUACUCCGCCUGAGUAGUACGUACGCAAGUAUGAAACUUAAAGGAAUUGACGGGACUCCGCACAAGCGGUGGAUCAUGUUGUUUAAUUCGAAGAUACCCGAAAAACCUUACCAGGUCUUGACAUGUUUUUGCGAAACGGUAGUAAUAUCGUGGAGGUUAUCAGAAACACAGGUGGUGCAUGGUUGUCGUCAGCUCGUGUCGUGAGAUGUUAGGUUAAGUCCUAAAACGAGCGAAACCCUUAUCGUUAGUUGCCAGCACGUUAUGGUUGGGGACUUUAACGAGACUGCCAGUGAUAAAUUGGAGGAAGGUGAGGAUCACGUCAAAUCAGCAUGCCCCUUAUGACCUGGGCUACAAACGUGAUACAAUGGCUGUUACAAAGGGUAGCUGAAACGCAAGUUCUUGGCCAAUCCCCAAAAACAGUCUCAGUCCGGAUUGAAGUCUGCAACUCGACUUCAUGAAGUUGGAAUCGCUAGUAAUCGCGAAUCAGCAUGUCGCGGUGAAUACGUUCUCGGGGUUUGUACACACCGCCCGUCA